This 564-nucleotide ribosomal RNA is filed under the name Fermentozyma sake. Its description in RNAcentral is "[Candida] sake partial large subunit ribosomal RNA". It matches the Rfam family "Eukaryotic large subunit ribosomal RNA", at positions 38 to 627 of the family's 3401-position model. The record is from RNAcentral. Lineage: Eukaryota; Fungi; Ascomycota; Pichiomycetes; Serinales; Debaryomycetaceae.
GCAUAUCAAUAAGCGGAGGAAAAGAAACCAACCGGGAUUGCCUCAGUAACGGCGAGUGAAGCGGCAAAAGCUCAAAUUUGAAAUCUGCGUAAGCCGAGUUGUAAUUUGAAGAUGGCUACUUUGGUAAUGGCUCUUGUCUAUGUUCCUUGGAACAGGACGUCACAGAGGGUGAGAAUCCCGUGCGAUGAGAUGUCCAUUACCGUGUAAAGUGCUUUCGAAGAGUCGAGUUGUUUGGGAAUGCAGCUCUAAGUGGGUGGUAAAUUCCAUCUAAAGCUAAAUAUUGGCGAGAGACCGAUAGCGAACAAGUACAGUGAUGGAAAGAUGAAAAGAACUUUGAAAAGAGAGUGAAAAAGUACGUGAAAUUGUUGAAAGGGAAGGGCUUGAGAUCAGACUUGGUAUUUUGUAUGGCUUGCUUUCGGGCGGGUCCUCUGCAGUUUACUGGGCCAGCAUCGGUUUGGGUGGCAGGAUAAUAGCAUAGGAAUGUGGCUCUACUUCGGUGGAGUGUUAUAGCCUUUGUUGAUACUGCCUGCCUAGACCGAGGACUGCGUCUUUGACUAGGAUGCG